AGAGAACCAAAUGAAGUAACUACCUAUGCUGCAUUAGUCAGGAGGAACACAUUUGAAGUUCUAAUUGCACGGGAUAUGCCUGAUGGGAAUCAACAAAAAGGAGAAUAUAGCCUAGCACCAGGUCUCCUUGAACCAAGAGGCACUUCUUACACCACAUCCUCAUGAUCUUUGGCUCCUGGAAUAUCAUAGGAUUGAACAAAUCCUACAAACAAAGAGAAUUAGUCAAAUUUCUUAUGACUAAUAAAGUUGAUUUACU
RNAcentral lists this long non-coding RNA (256 nucleotides) under Nicotiana benthamiana. Its description in RNAcentral is "long non-coding RNA (NBEN_LNC002087)". The record is from RNAcentral. Lineage: Eukaryota; Viridiplantae; Streptophyta; Magnoliopsida; Solanales; Solanaceae.